This 296-nucleotide unclassified non-coding RNA is filed under the name uncultured fungus. RNAcentral's name for it is "partial contains small subunit ribosomal RNA, internal transcribed spacer 1, and 5.8S ribosomal RNA". The stretch from base 1 to 73 matches the Rfam family "Eukaryotic small subunit ribosomal RNA", at positions 1759 to 1831 of the family's 1831-position model. Lineage: Eukaryota; Fungi. The record is from RNAcentral.
CCAAACUUGGUCAUUUAGAGGAAGUAAAAGUCGUAACAAGGUUUCCGUAGGUGAACCUGCGGAAGGAUCAUUAACGAGUUUUGAUUGUUUAGACAAUCAUUCUCUCACCACAUUGUUGACUUAAAUUCUGUUGCUUCGGUGAUCCAGUUCGAAUGUGUAACUCCUCGACCUUUUUGGUGGGGGUGCGGUCACCGAAAUUUUUUAACCAAACUUUUUUUGAUUAUCUGAAAAACAAAAAUAAAAACAAAACUUUCAACAACGGAUCUCUUGGCUCUGGCAUCGAUGAAGAACGCAGC